GGUCCUCCUUCCCCUCUACUCUGCCCUGGUGAGACCACACCUGGAAUAUUGUGUCCAGUUCUGGGCCCCUCAGUUCCAGAAGGACAGGGAACUGCUGGAGAGAGUCCAGCGCAGGGCAACAAAGGUGAUCAAGGGAGUGGAGCAUCUCCCUUAUGAGGAAAGGCUGAGGGAGCUGGGUCUCUUUAGCUUGGAGAAGAGGAGACUGAGGGGCGACCUCAUUCAUGUUUAUAAAUAUAUAAAGGGUAAGUGUCGCAAGGAUGGAGCCAGGCUCUUCUCGGUGACAACCAAUGGUAAGACAAGGGGUAAUGGGUUCAAACUGGAACACAAGAGGUUCCACUUACAUUUGAGAAGAAACUUAUUCUCAGUGAGGGGGACAGACACUGGAACAGGCUGCCCAGGGGAGCUGUGGAGUCUCCUACUCUGGACACAUUCAAAACCUGCCUGAACACCUUCCUGUGUAACCUCAUCUGGGUGUUCUUGCUCUGACAGGGGGAUUGGACUAGACGAUCUUUUGAGGUCCCUUCCAAUCCCUAACAUUCUGUGAUUCUGUGAUUUGUGAUAUCAGGCUUCAUCUACCAGAAGAGGGUAAAAGGAUAUCACAGAAGCCUGAGCUAUCUCAUUUAACUGAGUAGUUCAACGACAGUGACAAGAUUCUGACAGUAACAUGAAGUUCCCUGGAGAUGACUGAAAGACAGGUUAAAAUGCCUUUUAUUUUAAAAUUCCCCUACAAAAGGCUCUUACUAGGUUUUUAGAGACAAGCUCAAGACUUUGUUCCUGAUUCCUUUUCUUCCUAGGCAAUUUACAAUGUUUUUAAUUUGGAUUCAUUCAGUAGGAAAAGUAAUCAUUCAGAAAAUAGUUCAAUACAGGGAGUUGAAUGUUCAUAUGACAGAAUUUGUAAUUUCCUCCUUAUCCAUACAAAAUCUGAGCAGGGAAAAAUUUGUCUUGUUCCUCUUUCUAGAAGGAGCAACAUUGGGACAAAUAUUUUUGUCUUUAAGAAAUGGAUACAGCAAAAGAGAAAUACCUCUGCUGGGACAGGGACUAGAGAAACACUGUUUUCUGAAACAGUACUAUUAGUAUUCACAGAUACUUGUCACAACGGUGAUAGGCAACAAAGGUAUGAUAAAUAUAAUAUGAAAGAACAGUGCCGUAAAGGUAAACUUGCAGCCCAUCUAUCAUAUAAUCAUGUUCCAAGUGCCAGGAAAUACUCUUGCCUUCAGUCAGUCAAUCUCCUUUUUUUAAAAAAAAUACUUUUGUAGUUGCGUCCAUGUGUUGUCAGACAGAGGUAAUUUGGGGCCACCAGUGACUUGAAGACCACAUUUGAGGAGAAAGUCCAGAUACACAAUGGACUGGCUUUUUCCAAAGUGGCAGAAACCAGUUCCCUUUGUGCAGCUCUUCAAGUUUAACAAUUACACUGACCUGUGGUUUUGAGUGGGAUAUAAGUGCUGCCUGAGCCUUGAACUGAUAUGCUAGAGAGUUUUUUUCCUUUUUUUUUUAAUUAUUUUUUUAAAAAUUAUUUUUCCCCACAAAAGGAAGCAAAAGAAACAGUAUAUUAUAAUUAUUUUAAAUGGCCAGAGGAUACCACGUCUUUGAAAAACAGAAAGGCCACAAUGAAGAUGCCUUCAGCUGACAUCCUUUACAACUAUUGUAAUGUAUCUUUCUUAGUAAAUUUAAUAGUUUAGUCAGAGAAAACUUCAAAGAAGAAUCAGAAUAAAAUAUUAACUGUUUGCAAAUGCCGUGGCAGAGAUACUUGCUAGGAAAUGUGUUUCUGUAAUUGGCUAUGAAAUCAGUGGCUGAACUAUUUCCAGAAAUAAGAAGAGUGGACUGUUUCCCUGAACUGUGCUCUGAACAAAUCUAACCACAGAGUUCUCAGUGUGUAUUAAAGACCAAAAAGAACAGUAAGGUGAACAAAUGAUUCACCUAAAUAUCAUUAUCUCAAAGAGCUUUUAAAUAUCUGGAGUUUCUUUGAGGUGAAAGAUGAACAACAAAGCAAACGUCAAAAAAUAAUGAACAGAACUUAACUUCAAAGUGACAUAGAAAAACAAUGACUAUCGUAGACCAAAGCGGGAAUAUUAAUAACAUGCUAGGAGGAAAUCUAUUCUUAGCCUUCAUUUGAAAAUGGGGCAGAAAAAGGUUCCAGUUCUAACCAGCAUUGAAAAUAAGAUGAGAAAUGUGAAAUCUAUGGAAAGAAGCUAUAAACCCAAGUGCUGGCUUUAAAUUUAGUAAUGGGCUGAAGAACUCAAAACAGUGAAGGGCAGUGUGCUUUGUAGCUGCUCAUUUUCACUAAGUUGUAUAGGUGAAAGUCUUUGAUUUCUCCAAACUUAACUUUCAAAGACCUCAGAGCCCCAUGUUUAAUUUAGCAGACUUAUAGCUUUUGAAUAAUGUCUCAUGUAAAGUAUCUCCAUGGAGCUUGUCAGGACAUGCAGAAAAAUGUUAAAAACUCAGCAUUAUUCUUUAUAAAUCAAUAGUUAUACUCACCAACUAAUUACUUUGCUCAAGAUAAUGCUUCCUUAACAUGGAGGAGAUGAGAGUCACAAAGAUAUUUUUUGUUGAUCUGUAUUUAAUCUAAUGAGUCAAUUUGCGCCCUGGGGCUCUUCAUAAAAAAUGCAUAUAAAUAAAUGAGGGGCUGAUCUAAAGACUACUGAAAGUAAUAGAAAGACUCUUGUUUUGUUUGACUGCAUUUGGAUCUGUUUCUAAACCUCUUUAAGAAGUGAGCUUUUUAUUCUUGCAUAGUAAUUUAAAGAAAAUGUCUAUCUGUUUCUUAUGUAACCAACAUUAUUGUGGAUGUCUGUGUCUUUGAUACAUGUAUACAUGAAGCUAUUUUCAAUCUGUUGAUUGUGUUUCAGACAUUGUGAGAGAUGGAUCAGAUGCCGAGCUGUUGAAAAAUGCAAGUUUGCUGACAGCAGUCUGAUAUUUUUGUUGGGUCAAGUUGGUAGUAAUGUGGAAAUAUUUAGUGUGUAAAACAAAAUUUUGGUGAGCAUUGUUUUGACUUGUAAUUUUGGUUCCAGUUAUAUGCAGCUUACACGGCAGUACGAGAAGGGUAACGGAUAAGUGUUUUAAUUUGCCUUAACCGUUUUCCUUGCACUUCCUUUUUACCAUAAACUUCUUGCAGUAAUUCAAUGAAUGAAAUCACAAGAGAAUAGACUUCAUUGUUACAUCUAAUAUGCUGUAUUUGAGCCCAGUUUAUUUUAAACCACCUGGAAGAAGUUCUAUGGAUGGUUGCAUAACAAUAUUAAUUGUAAAGUCAAGCAAUUCUAGUAAAAAAACAGGACCAAUAUGAAUGCUGGUGUAACUCCUUUAAGCUAACCAGAAUUGCUUGAAGGAUGAAUUUUGUUUCUAUUUUUGAAUAGAUCCAAGGGAAGAUUCAUAUUCUUAAAAUACACUUACCCAAUGCACAUAUGAAUUAAAUAAAUCUACUUUUUUUUUUUUUUUCUAAUAUUUCCCCCAUCCUCAGUGGGCUAAAUUGGACACUAUUUUAAUUCUUUAGGAUGCUUAAUGUAAUUACACCUGAAAUAUUGUUGUUAUUUAUUUAUUUAUAUGUCAAGGUAAAAUAUUUAAAGAAUAACAGAAGCUUAUAAAAAAUAUAUGUUUUUAAUAAAAGUUAGUAAUUGUUAUUUGUAAAUACACAGAAUAUUGAUAUUGCAAGUCUUCUAUUUAUCAUUUGUUCCAAUGUCCAUCCAUCCAGGAAAGAUUGUUUGUACAGUUACCUCAAGCACGGAACAUCAGAGGUGUGUGCUCAUGAAUUAAUACUUUUGGCUUUGGGAGGUAUGAUGCAACUAUCCCUUUUAUUGUCCAUUAAUCCCAGAAGGAGCUAGCAAACUUUCCUGAAGUGAUAAUGGAAAGAUGUCUGGCAUGACUGCGUUUCAAAUUAGGUGAUGCCUAACAAUGAGGAAAUCUCUCAAGCACUGGAAUUCCAAACAGUCCCAGAGCAUAUGGGAAGAGUUUCUCCUAAUGAGGCAACGUUUCCAGCGCUUGUCUGUGUGCAGGAAGUCCAUCUAGUUCACGUGCCAGCAUCCACAGGCUCCAAAUACAGCUAUAUAUUAUAGCAUCUGGUUUUAAGAACAAGUAAUGAUUGUUUUUUAAAUAUUGUCCCAGACUGAUUAUGUCAUAUGCAUAUAUACUUCUGUGCUGCUAGCCUGACUAAAAGCAUCUGGAGCAGCUACCAGUGCUAAAUUGUUUGUCAAAUAUCCACAUACCUGCCAGUGUGACAUGGCUAGCUACGCGUUUGUUAAAUGCCAAGGCAGGUACUACCAUGACACCUCUUGAUUUUUGAAGCUACUCUGGUCUUCACAGGCAACAUAGCCAGUUGAUAUCGGAAUUUGGUGCUGUCUAUGUGAAAUUUCCCUAAAUCAUGUGUAGAUGAGGUUCUUAGGGACAUGGUUUAGUGCCAGUGUUAAUGGUUGGACUUAAUGAUCUUGAGGGUCUCUUACAGCCAAAAUGAUUCUAUGAUUCUAUUAAAUAUUUUCAAGAAGCUUGAUGUGGUUUUAGCUGUAGGGAGCUUUUCUCUCUGAAUUAUGGGUAAGUGAAAUGCUCUAAAAAUGUCUUCAGCAAACUGAUAAAUAGGCAAACAAUAUUGAAGACUUAUCUUUAUAUAUGCUCAGGAAAUCGGCCAUCAAGCUGAAUUCCCACUGCCUCUGCCUUUUGAAGAUUCUUGUGAGAAAGCUAAAGGGUGUAGAAAUCACCCCUAAACUCAUACAAGUAAUGUAAAUUCAAUUUGCUACAUAUUACUGUCCAAUAGGUUUAUUUGUUAUGUUCCAUCAUCUUUAAUCAAAGCAACUAGUUGACUUUAAAUAUAAUCAGUUGUGAUUCCUGGACAGAUUUUUAGAGCCCAUAGAACACUAUAUAACUGACUGAGAGGCAAUGUCAUUUGUGUCUUAGAAAAUCCUUAUCUCCUUCAUGCUUCUUUUGUAGUCAGGAGAAGGAAGCAUAGAUUCGGCUUUUUUGACAACUGAAAGGAUAAAAGGCCGUAUAUGCAUAUAAAAAAAAUAGGAAUUCUAGCUCCUUUACAGUAAUUGGCAGGCCAAGCACAGUUCAAUAGCUUCUACAGGUGAUAUUUUCUUUUAGAAAACAGAGUGGGAUGUAGGAAUUGGUGAGUAGAAUUUAGACAGAAAUCCUGUUCAGUGAUGAAGGAAGGCACACCGUAAUUUUGUAAAGUGCAGGUAGUUUCACCUGCUUUUGUGAGCAUGAAACAAUGUCUUCUCUUAUUUUUGCAAAGAAUGUGCAAAUCCUCCUAAAAGAAAAGAACAUCUUGAAUAACAGUAUUUUUAUUAGGCAACUUUUAUCACAGCCAUGCACUGCGCCCUUUACUUGGCCUAUAUUAGAGCAGUUUUAUGCCUGCUCUGACUUGUGCAAGUUGUUAAAUACUCCUUGGAGAUAAGAGUCAUUGGGAUUUUCUGGACUGGAGGAAAUCUUGGCCCUUUUUACUUUUCCUUUGAUUGUAUACUGCUCCUCCCUGUAACACUGACGAGCCUCUUGUGCCUGGUUAUGUUGAUUAUAAAACCUUUUAUGUCAGCUAUACAAAGUUGUCAUAGUGCAACCCCAAAUUGGGGCUAUUUCACUGACAUAGUCUGUGAUAACUGACAUAACACCUGUUUGUUCUCACUAGAGUCAACAGUUGCAUAAGGUUUCAAUUACUUCAGAAUUUGGCCCCAAGUUUCUGGGAAAAUGGUGAAUAUUUGCGUAUAAACUGCUGUACAUUUGUUCAUGGGCCACGUACCUGAAGUAUGCUGAAAUAUGUUUUUCUUGAAAAUCACACUGGAAAGUUUCAAUGGCUCCCUUUUUGACCACUGCAUGCUGGAGUGACCUGUGAGUGAGAGACAGUGGAAGAGGCCAGCACAGAGAACUCCGACGAGGUUUGCUGGAGAAUGGCUGGUGCAUCCGCUUUGGCUGCGCACUGCCCGAGGGACCAUGAUGAAAAGUUGUUGGGGAAGCUUGUUACUGUUCUAAAGUUGCCAGUUCUGUGGGUUUCCUGUGGAACUGGCCUAGUUUUUAGCAACAGCUGUGGUCAAUUUUCUGAGCCAGGGAUAACCAUUCUGUGUUUGUUUUUUUUAAUUUUUUUUUAAUGCUAGCACAGAUUUUUGGCUGUCUGGUUGGUGCAGUGGUUUCCAUUGCAAAUUUUGAUUAUGUCUUUGAUUGCUGAUUAGAGGUUGUGAGCUAGGACUGUUCACCAGUGAGCCAGGGCUUGACUGCUCUGUCAUGGGCACUGGAAGCUCUUCAAGGACAGAGUUUCCAAGUGCCAGUGAUGAGCAGAGAUGACUGUCUGAAGUACUGAGGGAUUUUAUGAAGUCCUCUCAUCAGUUAGUACAGCCCCACUGAAAUAAAGUGUGACUUUAAUUCUUAGCUUGCUUGCAAGUGUUACUAGUAAAAGGUGGGUAACUUUAGAACCCCACAUUCUAAAGGCAUAAAAGCAUUUACCACUCCAGGUAAGAGGCCUCACCACUAACAGAAGACAGAUAACAAAUAUUUAGAUAGUUUUGACAGUCUUGUUGUGAAUUGUUAGUCAUCUGGACAUGACUACAAGAAUUACUAUGAUAUGACAAUGUGUGUAUGGUGAAUUUUUUUGUCAUUCUAGUAUUUUUUUAUUUUCUCAGAUAAACUUCGGAGCUGGUCUCUGUUGGUUUCAGAGAAGCAGUCACCAACUGAACCUAAGAACCUAAUAAUCUCAUUUACUGGUAAGAAGUAAUGUGAAGACCACCAUAUGGUGGGUAAGAAAUCAGUGAAUGGUGGCUUUUUUUGUGAGGACGGUGGGAAAAAAAUUACAGGUGAAUUCAGGAGGGUUUGGAUAUUGAUGCAAAUUCGAAGAAGGUAAAGAGGAAGGCUAGACUUUUUCUUUGUUGAACUGGCAGAUACAAUGGACUCUUUCUACAACAGAGAGAAAACAAUAUAGCAAGACAGGAGAAAGAAAGUGGGUGCUGUUCUCUUCUUUGGGGUUGCCAUUAGAAGGACAGUAGUGUUUCCAAGGGUAGGCUUAAUAAGAAGACAAGAGAAGGUGGAAUGACAUUCGGCAUUUCCUAAAUGUGUAUUGAGUAGCAGCAAAACCAGUAACUACAGCUAUAAUACCCAUCUCCAAAUUUGCCCUGUACAGAUAAUUAAAUUUGGGGACAGAGAUAUCUGAACACAAUCGGAGCACUGUGUCUUAUAGAAUUAGACUGACUUUCCCUUCUUUUUUCAGGUUCAAAUAAAUUAAAAUAGGGAAGAGUAAUCAAGGUGUACACACAUUCUGAGGAAUAUAAGAAUCUUUCUGCGUGCUUUCAUCUCAGCCUUAAAAAAGAACACCUUGUUUUCAGUGGCAUUCCUAUUGCUUUGUAUUGGAUUUCCCUAACUAUUGAGGCGAUUGUGUUCUACCAAGAGCUGCUCAUAGAAAAUCUGUUUGAAAUAUGGUAUAAGUAAGUUCUUGCAGGUAAAGAAUACUAAAAGUCCAUUGGUACUGGAAUAGUCUAUAUGGUGCAACUGGAUCAGUGAUCAUAGCAAUGACAGAAAACUACAAAGCAAGAGAUGCUGGAGUGUUCUAUAAGAGGUGACACAUUGGCUGCUUGUACUAGGAGAAGGAAUUGCUGGAGUCCCUUGGUUCAAGUUAGAGCUCUUGCUACAUGAUUUAAUGAAGUAAAAAUAAGUCUGUCUAAAAUGUGAUAGAAAUAAUUUGGUGCAAAAUUGCUUUCCAAAGUACAAUGGAAAUAAAUGUAAAUUAAAUUAGGAAGAAAAGGAAAAGAAAAUGUUUCCCCAGUAGAGAUAAAGUGCACAAUUCUGGGGGUUAUUUUCACAUAUUUUUGGCUUUAAAUUCCAUUUCCUUUGGCAGCUUUAUCUGGUCCCUUCUGUAAAGUCUGCUAAGAAGUUGUUCCUGUGCAGCAUGUAUGUUUGAAUUCUAGUAAGGCAUCUUGAGGUAGUUUGGCUGCCUUGUGACAAUAUUUCAGACUGGUCUCUGAUGAAUUCCAGAGUGUUACAUAAAUAUCUGGAUCACAAAUAAAGGUGUGAAGACACUCAGGAGAGCUGUGAGAAUGAAUCAGUGACCAUUUUGAGACAAUUCCAUGCAUGACUUCUCUGACUUAACACCUAUAAGAAGUAAAAGUUCUCCUUUUCACUUUGUUUCCAGUUUAACUUUCUUUGUACAUCCAAAGAAAUAACGGGAAAUACUUUGAUCUUUCUGACAUAAGCCAGUCUCUUGGUUCUUUAGGAUGUGACGUGGGAAAUAACUAUGCAAAUACAUAGUCUAGUUGUUUUAUAGUGUAUCAUAGUGCCUGUAGUCUCACUAUUAGAAAAAAAAGACAACAUUUUACUUACAGCAGAGAAGCUUCUCUCUCUCCCUGAGUUUUUCUGGAUGUGAGAUUCUUAUUGAGAACACUGAUUAUGAAGCAAAGCUUUCUAGAAAGGAUUGAGCAACACAUUGAAUUUGAUCUUUAGCCUGAAAGGUCAGACGGAGCCUCACUGGCAAGAAGCUCUCCAGCUGAGGACCUGCUGUUGAUUCCCCAUUUCUUGUACUGCACAGCCCAAACCUGGGCUGGGCUGGUUAUGGGCCAAUGAAAGUGUGUGCAUGGGGAGAGAUGUUUGUCAUGCAGAGAUAUGAGCAAUGCUGUCAUUGCCAGCUCUCUACUAGUCUGGGGUUUUAUUUGUCCCUUUUUUCCCCCCGAAGUAAUUCUUGUUUGCAAGGAAAUAUCUUCCUGAUACAGCUGUAGUGAUACUAGGAUGAGGUGGUAUCAACCAUCAGUUGGAUGACUUUCAUGGAACAGGAAGUUGAUGUGUUUCAAAGUGCCAUAAAAAUAGGAACUGGCAGCUGGUUUGGUGUGCUUUUCCUGCACUGAAUAACUCAUCUGUACCUUCACCAAGCUUGUCACUGCACCUCCUUCAGUUGCUGUGGGAGUCUCACAUGUAAUCUUGCAGUGUGAUGAGUUACAUGAGGCACAGAUUUGCUGGGUCCUUAUCAUAUAGAACUAGCGUAGAUUAGAAAACAGACCCCAGCACAGAGGCAUCUGCAUUUCAAAUUGAAACUCAGCCAUUCUUUGUGCACCCACUUCAUCUCCGUAUGCUUCAGUUACUGUACAGGCCUGUUGACAGCUUUAAAACAGCUUUAGAGGAGGAAAAUGACUGAUGGGCACACCAAAGCGAUGCAAAGCUCUGUGAUCUUCACUGCAAAUUGCGUUGCCUGUGAGCCUCUUAAGAAUAUGAAAGUGAUAAGAAAUCAGACAUUUAGGUAAGACUGGCAAGGACUGAAUGCUACUGUGAAAGGAUUAACUCUCACCAAUUGGUAGUUUGUUGCAUGUCCUGCUUAAAUCCUGCCCUGUUUGGGCAGAGAGGAUUUGUUCAGUAGUGAGGCAGAUCCUUUCUGUGUAUAUAAGCAUACUCUCUAUAGAUGGAGUCACAGUUUUGCAAGCCAACUUCUUGCUUCCCAACCCCUGAAUCAUACUGACUGAGCCACUGCAUUUUUCCUUCUGCUCUCCAAAUUAUUUACCCAGGAGAGGAGAGUAUGGGCCCAGUACGCUGAUGAGCAGGAACAAGGCAGAUGGAAAGAUGUAAUUUGAUGGGAGGCUGCCCAGUUUCUUUCACAUACCACCAAAUCACCAAAAGCUUCUUUCCUUCUGCCAAGCACUUCCCUCUCACCCAUGCUUUCUUUCAUACAUGUGUAUUUUGUUUCAGUCUGUUGGCAUUGUUAGCAAAGACUCAUUCAGUCGCUGCAUAUUGGUCUGAAUCCACAUUAAAUGUAUAAAAGGUAUGUUCAGUUAAAGUUAAGCAGCACUGUGCCUAGUGAAAAUGAAUAGAGUGAAUCAUCCUCUGAAAGAUUUGAAGACAGAGUACGGGAAUCCUUUUACAAUAUUAUUUUAACAUAUGUAUAAAAGGAAGGAAAAAUAACACCACACUGGAGCUCGAUGCAAGGAAUUUCUGUUAAAUUGAUAAUGUGUUUACAUUUAUAUCUCUUGCCAAAGUGGCUGAAUUUCCUUAUGGCUUUAAGAUGCUUUAAAGAAUGUAAUGGUUAAUUAGAUAGUAUAGUGUGGUGAAGGAGGAGGUGAGUUUUUUCGAACUGGGAUCACAUUCUUCAAUAAACAUUACUCCUGAGUCUGCUACAUGGACAGCCUGGUUUCCUCAUUAGGAAAAAAAAAACCCACUCAAAAAGUAGUAUCUUCAUAUCUAUCUGUAUCUGUAUAUACACAUAUAUACCACAUAUAUAUAUGCAUACAUCUUGUUCCAGUUAUUUAUAAUAAUCGUAUUAAUGUUUAUUAACCUUAUUUGCUGUUCAUAGUUCCUUACAGGUUUCUAUCAGGUAAACAAAGAAGGAAGCAUAAGAUGAUUUUAUGGGAAUGGAAAAUGGUUCAGAGCUCAAGAGAUCUAAUGUCACCGCAAGUAUGACUUGAACAAGGAGUUAUUAUUUUAAAAUCGUAUUAAAGCAGGUGAAAGUUGUCUGGCUUCAAAGAUGCUUGUCACUUUCUCAUUGGCAUUAGGUUCAGUUCCAAGGUUCUCUGAACUGUUUGUUUAGGAAGUCGUUGUUUCAGUUUUUAAGAAGUUAUUGUUUCAAUUUUCACUUCCUUGCUGUAAUUUUUUUGAAUAUAUGUUCCUGCUGAGACUAUGGCAUCGCUGUCUUCAGCCUGUAAAUAAGCGCAAAACUUCCAUGAAUUCAUUAUGUUUCUGGAUGCUGCAGAGGCCUCUUUAUGUGUGCUGUGAAAUCAAUUCCAGAAUAGUUUUUAUUUUUGUAUGUGAAUGCAAAGGUACUGGAUGCUGGUGGGUAUUGCCUGAGUCUCCUCAAAAGAGUUCAAAGGGCCCAUAAGAUGCCAUUUACGCUACUUAAACAUCCUGUCAAACUCUGGGGAAAAUCUCAGAAAUCACUUUUCAUUAAUAAAGUACAACUCAUUAGAAUUAUUGUGAUACAGAUCAUACUUGUAAAAGAAUUUUAAAAUUUCUGCCAUAGAAGCUGUUGCUUCUUUGUCAAGUCCAAAGCCUAUAAAGAGAAUUUAGGAAGCAGAUUUAUAGGACAACUACUGUGAAAUUCCAUCAUUUUUAUUUAUUUGGCUGAAGAACAUCCCCUUUCUUGUAAUUGCUGCUUAAUCUUAGCUGCAGACUUAGCGGUUUAGGAAAAUAUCCUUUACUUUUCCAUCAGCUGUCAAACUAUGCUAUUAAGCAAGAGAUAUUCUUCCUGUAAUUCAGGCUUGCCAGCUUCUCAUAUAUUAAUGACCAACUUACACAACCAAGACUGUUGAUCUGUUAUGUUUUUUCCCUUAGUUUUCUUGCUUUUUCUUGGUAUCUUAUACUAUGUUUGCUAGUGUAAAACUGGGGAAGGUACCCUGGAUUGCUUGUUGAGCGAUUAUUUUAUUUUGCAUUGCUGUCCACUGUCAGCAUCAAAAGCUGCCAAUUUCUGUUUGCUUUUUUAAAGGGUUCAGACAGGACAUGUCCAGGGGAUCUAGCUGCAGUGCUUUAAAACAGGGCCACCUCCAGCUGUCGGCUGCAUUUCUCUGCUGAAGGGCGCCCACCUGUGUGGAGCAAGAAGAGCCAGCUGCUCCAACUCCAAGCCAGAUCUGAGCUCAGGAUGUCUGCCAGGAGGACUGCCCCCUUGGGACCUUGCCUGUGGGUGGGCUAACUAGUCUUCUGUAUCUGGUUUUCAUUGAAAGAUUUUUGACUGUUCUUGGUCUGUGUGUCAAACACCCUGUGCUGGAAGAACAGUAACUCAGAUGUCUUGAGAAAACAGAUGUUUUCGUUUUCAAGGGAGUAGAGGAGGCUCAUCCUUUUCUAGAUGGAAGAAAGCUCUGCAGUUCCAUUGAUAGCACUGAAAAUAGAUUCACCAUUCAGAGAGUUCUUCUGGAUUUCUGCUCCAUCAUGGAUGACUGUGCUCCAACUCUGUACUAUGACAGAAAUUUGUAGCAAAUGGCGCUAUGAACAUUAUCUUGGUUGGAUCAGAUGGCUGCUGAUACGUUAAACCUGAUGCUUGCUACCCUGGUGAGGAUGCUGCUUCAGAAGAACUCAUGAUUGUAAAAAAUAGUUAACUUCUUCAGACUGUGUCAACUAUGGAUUUCACAACCUCUCUGAAGGGGAGGAAGCACCACUAUUAGCACAACACCUAGGUGGUGAGCUUCAUGAAACUUUGUUGCCCAUUAAGGGCCACUCUAAGAAGGCAGUCUGAUCUUUCUGCCUUCCUGUCCAGUAACUUUGCCAGCAAGCCUUAUGAUUUUUAUGCAGUGAGCAACCGGAGCUUGUUUUGGAACCAGUUGUCUUGAGUUGGAUAAUUUUUUGCGGUGUUUAAGAAGAAUUCUAUAUAGUGUUCAGGAUUUGGGUGUUAGAGCAAGGAGGAAUAUGAUUCAGAGAUGAAUCUGUUGCAGAUUUCAAUGUUGCCUGGAGCUGAAAUACUGUGAUCUUGAGGAUACUAGUAUUGUGAUGUGAAAUCCAUUAUAAAAUCUGGCUAGGCUAAUUCUUAAUACUGUUUUUAUUAAAUCAUAACACAGUCUUUUAUAUUAUGCUGCAAAAUAAGGUAUCUGUACUAUUUUAGGGUCAUUGACCUGAAAGACCAACCAACCAAACUGAAAAAACACAAAACAAUUUAGAUGUAAAGGUGGAGAAGUCUGGCAUUUAUGUGAGAAAUUGUUGUACAUAAUUUGGAAAGCCUUUUACACCAUAAAGCUGCUACAAUUGACUUUACCUUGGUGACAGUGGUUAAAUUCCAUAAAACUAGUUUUUGUAAUUGGCUGAAAUAUUGUGACUGUUUCUGCUCAGGCUCCAAACUUACUAAGCUCAGAAGAUGCUCUGAAAUUUGGCUUGAGCACCAUCAGUGUCUUAUGAAGCUAGUGCAUGCUAUGCCAUAUUUUAUUUGUUACUUGUGACGUAGAAUCAUUUCAGUUGGAAGAGACCCUCAAGAGCAUUGAGUUCAACCGUAACCUAACUCUAGCACUAAACCAUAUCCCUAAGAACUUAAUCUAAAUGCCUUUUAAGUACCUUCAGGGAUGGUGACUCCUCCACUUCCAUGGGCAGCCUGUUUCAGUGCCUGACAACUCUUUCUGUGAAGGAUUUUUUCCUGAUAUCCAAUCUUAGAUUGCAUAACCUUCUCCUCAUUUCACACAAAAGUGUGAAAAUCUGUCUUUAGAUGAUCCAUUGAAACUUUGUUGUGGUUUGUGUUUGUAAUAAUUUCCGUACAUGAAAUUCAGUCAAGGCUUUGUGCUUUCCCAAGUUCUGUUAGAGAUGAAGGUGGUGAGUUUAGGCUUUCCAUGGGGACAAAUCCGUCAUGGCCCCAACAGAUGAAAGCUUAUCAAUACAAAGGGAGUAAAUUCUUGGAAGCUUGUGAAAGAGCAAAAAAUUGGUCUUUCAAAGCAUCUAUAUCUGCUGGAAAGCUUCCUUACAGUCUUAAAACUAUUGCUUCUAAACAUAUGUUUUUUACUGUUACAGUUUUUUGAAGAAUGUGUAAAGCAUUUUAAUUAAUCACGUAUGCCUUUUCAAAUAGAUUUACACUGCUCAGUGCAAUGACUAUGUAGCAUGAUUAGGUCUUCUGUUGCAGGUCUCUGACCUGAGUUCAGCCCUGAAAUGCCUGCAACUCAAAACUCAGAAGAGCAAAUACUGUAGGGGCUACUUGGAACUUGAGCAUGCUAAAAACUGCUCUCUUGGUUUUGAAGUUUAGAAGGCCUCUUGUUCAGCAGUUGUAAAUAUUUUUACAUUAUGUAUCUUUCGUACCAUAUACCUUUCAAGGUCAUGAAGAUUGUUGUUUCUGGGAAGAUACAUUGUUGCCCUUUAGUGCAGAAACUGGGGGCAAAGUACAUUUGUGACAAAUUUGAUUGCUAACAAGAUUAAUGGCUGCCACCUCUGUUUGAAGUACUAAUAUAUAGGUCUUCCCUGAUGGAAGAAAUAGAUGGAGAACUCCACCUUUGAAAAGCCUGUAUUAUGUAAUGUGAAGUUUGCAUGGAAGUGAGACCAAAAGAUGUGGCAGUAUUCUGACAUCGGGCCUGUGAGAAACGACAGGAGUUGACAGCGUGAGAACAAGCGUUGGUGGAAAAAUAGAAGGAGCAAGGACUGUAUGCUACUUGAUAUAUCAAAGACAGAUGGAUUGAUAAAGGAUUGAUACAUCAAAGACAGAGGAGUAAGUUGUGAUAGACCAAUAAAUCCUUUUAUGGUAGUAACUUUGGUGGGAACGCAAAAUAUUUCGCUUAUGUAAUGAGUAACUUAGCAAAUCAGCGAAUGCUUGAGCAAGCAUCAUAGCAAGUAUAAAUGCAAGCCUGAGUUUGUAAUAAAUGUCUCUCAUCACACCUUAUCAAGAGUCCAUGCCUCAUUCACCACAAAAUUAUCGAAGUACCUUUUCUCAGAGUCAUACAUAGAGAUAUACUUCAUAGGUUAUUUCUUGCUGCGUCUCCUCUUGAAACACUGAUUAUUCCAUCACACAUACAAACGCAAUACAAAAGUAGAUCUCAUUUUGAGUGAAAGGGAAUUACUUUUCCAUUUUGCAGGAAAAA
Long non-coding RNA from Columba livia (rock pigeon), 14402 nucleotides. RefSeq lists it as uncharacterized. NCBI's taxonomy places the organism in Eukaryota, Metazoa, Chordata, Aves, Columbiformes, Columbidae. The record is from RefSeq and is a predicted model, not a curated record. The transcript has 5 exons.